AGAGUUUGAUCCUGGCUCAGAACGAACGCUGGCGGCGUGCUUAACACAUGCAAGUCGAGUGCGCGUUUUCGUAGCAAUACGGAAAUGGCGCACGGCGCACGGGUGCGUAACACGUGGGUAACCUGCCCUUUGGUGGGGAAUAACUUCGCGAAAGCGAAGCUAAUUCCGCAUAAGAUCCGCAAGGAUGAAAGCCGAAAGGCGCCGAUGGAGGGGCCCGCGCACGAUUAGCUAGUUGGUAGGGUAAUGGCCUACCAAGGCUUUGAUCGUUAGCUGGUCUGAGAGGAUGAUCAGCCACACUGGAACUGAGACACGGUCCAGACUCCUACGGGAGGCAGCAGUGGGGAAUCUUGCACAAUGGGCGAAAGCCUGAUGCAGCGACGCCGCGUGGGGGAUGAAGCUUUUCGGAGUGUAAACCCCUUUCGAUCCGGACGAAACCCCGCAAGGGAUUGACGGUACGGAUAUAAGAAGCCCCGGCUAACUACGUGCCAGCAGCCGCGGUAAUACGUAGGGGGCCAGCGUUGUUCGGAAUUACUGGGUGUAAAGGGUUCGUAGGCGGUGCGGCAAGUUGGGAGUGAAAUCUCUGGGCUUAACCCAGAGGCUGCUCUCAAAACUGCUGUGCUUGAGUGUGAGAGAGGCUCGUGGAAUUGCAGGUGUAGCGGUGAAAUGCGUAGAUAUCUGCAGGAACACCCGUGGCGAAAGCGGCGAGCUGGAUCACUACUGACGCUGAGGAACGAAAGCUAGGGGAGCAAACAGGAUUAGAUACCCUAGUAGUCC
Molecule: ribosomal RNA, 774 nt
Filed under: uncultured bacterium
Lineage: Bacteria
Description: bacterial SSU rRNA
Rfam family: Bacterial small subunit ribosomal RNA
Source: RNAcentral